CCUACGGGUGGCAGCAGUGGGGAAUAUUGCACAAUGGGGGAAACCCUGAUGCAGCGACGCCGCGUGAGCGAUGAAGUAUUUCGGUAUGUAAAGCUCUAUCAGCAGGGAGGAAAAUGACGGUACCUGACUAAGAAGCCCCGGCUAACUACGUGCAAGCUGCCGCGGUACUACGGAGGGGGCAAGCGUUAUCCGGAUUUACGGGGUGUAAAGGGGGCGUAGACGGUCCGGUAGGUCAGAUGGGAAAGCCCGGGGCUCAACCCCGGGACUGCAUUUGGGACUGUCAGGCUAGAGUGUAGGAGAGGCAGGCGGAAUGUCUGGUGUAGCGGUGAAAUGCGUAGAGAUCAGACGGAACACCAGUGGCGAAGGCGGCCUGCUGGACGACGACUGACGUUGAGGCUCGAAAGCGUGGGGAGCAAACAGGAUUAGAUACCCCAGUAGUC
Molecule: ribosomal RNA, 440 nt
Filed under: uncultured bacterium
Lineage: Bacteria
Description: partial 16S ribosomal RNA
Rfam family: Bacterial small subunit ribosomal RNA
Source: RNAcentral